Molecule: long non-coding RNA, 290 nt
Organism: Ruditapes philippinarum (Manila clam)
Lineage: Eukaryota; Metazoa; Mollusca; Bivalvia; Venerida; Veneridae
Exons: 2
Source: RefSeq, a predicted model, not a curated record
UAAGCUAUUAUAGAUGAUCAAAGAUAUAAAAUUUUGUCUUCUGACACUAGAACCGUUUUGUGAACAUUUAGUUGUCAUUUAACUUCACAGUGUAUUUUUGAUGUGCAAUCCAUUUUCAAGGUAUUCCAUGCCUGUCGGAGAAAGAUAAAAUUGUGGCGGUGUUAUGUGGUCUAUCAUGGCGGAAUAUAUUCACAGACGACCCUGACAACCAAGUAUUGUUGAACUCUCAUCCAAUGGUUGAUGGAUUGAACAGAAAAGAUGCAGCAGAGAAAGUCAUGUCAUUAGCAAGG